GCAUGAGUUUGGUAGAAAGCUAGCUUUGCCUGUUGAUAGACUAAAUAAUGCUUUAUUAGUCGAAGUAGCUAGUGGCAAGUUUGUACCUGUUAGCCAUCGUAUGAAAAACGUCUUGAUCGACCUUAAUGGGAAUAAGUUUCUCGAGGAAUUAUUGCCUAUCGAACUAAAUGGUUUCGACAUCGUCUUGGGAAUGGAUUGGCUUAGCGCCAAUGAUGCCGAAAUUUUGUGCAAGAAGAAGAUAGUUAAAGUAAACCCGCCUGGGAAAGAUUCGUUUAUGGUGUAUGGGGACAAACGCAGAGUGAAUUCUGGAAUCAUUUCUCUAAUGAAAGCCAGAAAGUGUUUGACCAAGGGAUGUACAUCAUAUUUAGCAUUCGUGAUUGAUGCUAAGAAAGAAAAGAAGGUGAUGCAGAGUAUUCCAGUGGUGUGUGAUUAUCCGGAAGUAUUUCCCGAGGAUCUUCCUGGAUUACCACCUGAUAGACAAGUGGAGUUCAGAAUAGACUUGUUACCAGGAACCACGCCAAUAGCAAAAGCACCUUAUCGAUUAGCACCGACGGAGAUGAAGGAGCUAAUGAUGCAACUUCAGGAGUUAUUGGACAAAGGUUUCAUUAGACCUAGUUCAUCGCCCUGGGGAGCUCCGGUGUUAUUUGUAAAGAAGAAAGAUGGAAGUAUGAGAAUGUGCAUCGAUUACAGAGAGCUGAACAAGGCAACAAUAAAGAAUAGAUAUCCGUUGCCGAGGAUUGAUGACCUGUUUGAUCAAUUGCAAGGUUCGAGCUAUUUCUCGAAGAUCGAUCUUAGGUCAGGAUAUCAUCAGCUGAAAGUAAGAGAGCAAGAUAUCGAGAAGACUGCAUUCAGAACUAGAUAUGGACACUACGAGUUCUUGGUUAUGUCGUUUGGACUAACCAAUGCUCCAGCAGCGUUCAUGGAUUUGAUGAAUAGGGUUUGUAACCCGUUCCUUGAUAAAUCCGUGAUAGUGUUCAUAGACGACAUUCUGAUUUACUCGAAAAGCCAGGAGGAGCAUGGCAGACACUUGCGAGAAGUGUUAGAAGUCUUGAAGAAGGAGAAGCUGUAUGCUAAGUUCUCCAAAUGUGAUUUUUGGAUUCGUGAAGUCCAAUUCUUGGGUCACGUGGUCAACCAAGAAGGGAUAAUGGUUGAUCCAGCGAAGAUCGAAGCUGUGACGAAGUGGGAACAACCGAAAAGUCCCACGGAGAUUCGAAGCUUUUUAGGAUUAGCCGGAUAUUACCGAAGGUUUAUCCAAGGCUUUUCUUCGAUUGCUACUCCAUUAACAGCUUUGACCCACAAAGGAGCUACUUAUGCUUGGAGUGAGAAGCAUAAAGAAGCAUUCGAGAAGUUAAAGAAGAAGCUAUGCGAGGCACCGAUACUUUCUCUACCCGAUGGAGUUGAAGACUUCGCUGUUUAUAGCGAUGCGUCUGGUGUUGGAUUGGGUUGUGUUUUGACCCAAAGAGAAAAGGUGAUAGCAUAUGCGUCUCGACAGCUGAAAGAGCAUGAAAAGAAUUACCCGACUCAUGAUUUGGAGUUGGCAGCGGUAGUUUUCGCUCUGAAAAUAUGGAGGCAUUACCUCUAUGGCACGAAGUGCAAACUUUUCACUGAUCAUAAGAGUCUCCAAUACCUCUUUAAUCAGAAAGAAUUGAAUAUGAGGCAACGACGCUGGCUAGAAUUACUUAAAGACUAUGACUGCGAGAUACUUUACCACCCCGGUAAAGCUAAUGUUGUUGCUGAUGCUCUCAGUCGGAAAGUCAAUCCCGAAAGGAAAAGGCCAAGAGCGUUGAGAAUUGAAGUUGUCUCAACUAUUUUGGAAAGUAUAAAGAAAGCUCAGAGCGAAGCUUCUGAGAAGAAUGACAGAAAGGAGGAACGUUUGGGCAAAACGUUGGUGUUCGGUGUAAACAGUCAUGGACUGAAGGUGUUCCAAGAUCGGAUUUGGAUACCUAAGUCAGGAGGAGUUAGAGAUCUUCUGAUGGAAGAAGCUCACAAGACCAUGUACUCGAUUCAUCCGGGUAGCACUAAAAUGUAUAGGGACCUGAAACCCUACUACUGGUGGCCGACGAUGAAGCUUGAUGUUGCAAAGUAUGUGGCCGAGUGUGUGACUUGUGCGAGAGUCAAGACACAACAUCAGAAACCGUACGGGAGUUUAGAACCAUUGCCUGUGCCUAUGGGUAAGUGGGAAGACAUUGCUAUGGAUUUUGUCACUAAACUGCCCAGAACAAAGAAUGGUCACGACAUGAUUUGGGUGGUCGUUGAUCGAUUCACUAAGAGUGCGCAUUUCAUAGCAGCCAAGGAGAAAUGGUCUAUGGAAAAGCUUGCGAAUUCUUACGUGAAGGAAAUUGUGAGGCUUCACGGUGUUCCGUUAACGAUUGUAUCGGAUCGUGAUAGCCGUUUCACCUCAAGGUUUUGGAAAAGUCUACAAGAGGAAAUGGGUACCAAGUUAUGUUUAAGUACAGCUUACCAUCCGCAGACUGAUGGUCAGAGUGAAAGAACGAUACAAACACUUGAAGAUAUGCUGAGAGCAUGUACCUUGGAAUUCCUAGGUAAUUGGGAUGAACAUUUACCUUUGGUAGAAUUUUCCUAUAAUAAUAGUUUCCACUCGAGCAUUAAGAUGGCACCUUAUCAAGCUUUGUAUGGACAGAAGUGUCGUACGCCGUCUUGUUGGCUUGAGGCUGGGGAAAAACAGUUUAUGGGACCUGAGAUGGUCCACCAGACUGCUGAGAAGUUGAAAGUGAUCAGGGAAAGAAUGUUAGCAGCUCAAGAUCGUCAAAAGAGCUAUGCUGACAAGAAGCGAAGACCGAUGACUUUUGAAGUUGGAGAUUCGGUUUUGCUUAAAGUCUUGCCGUGGAAGGGACUUAUAAGAUUUGGUAAAAGGGGAAAGUUGAGUCCAAGGUUUAUUGGACCGUUUAAAGUUCUUCAGAGGAUUGGGAACCAAGCUUACAAGCUUGAACUACCAGAGGAACUGAAUGGAAUUCACAACACUUUUCAUGUGUGUUAUUUGAGGAAGUUCAUGGGAGAAGUUCCCGAUAUAAUUCCAAUUUCUGAAUUGAGAAUUGAUGAAAACAAGAGGUUAAUUGAAGAACCAGAGGCAAUUGUUGACCAAAACACUUAGAAGUUUCGACGCAAGAUGGUCGAAUUAGUGCUGGUUUGUUGGAAACAUACGAAUGGGUCAAAUCUCACCUGGGAAACGGAGAGUGACAUGUUGAGUCGCUAUCUGCAUUUGUUUGUUGAUGUGUGAUUCCGGAGACGGAAUCAUCCUAAGGGGGAGAGAAUUGUAACGCCCGCGUUUCCAGGCUAGGCAUUUUCGUUGAUGUAAUAGUCUGGGUUAACCUUUGUAACCCUUUUUGAAAUAAUAGAAGUAUAUUAUUUGAGUAUUAUGUGUUUUGUGCUUAAUUGCUUAAAUAUGUGAUUUGAUUAAUUAAGAAUAAAAUGAGCGUCAUAAUUUAAGUGUAAAAUUAACUUGAUAUCCUUGGAUAAUGUUGUAGUAGUUGAAACGAGGUUUCCGAGUAUAUAAAGAACGCCCAAAUCUGACUUCAUAUGAGGAAGUUAUGAUUUUCUGAAGUUUCGACUUCGCGGUAUGCAGCCCGAAAUACUCGCUUUGAGAUCGAGCGGUUUUUAGUCGAAUCAAUCUAAACGAGAAUCGAAGAUCUCGUUGUUGGUAUCGAAGCGAUGAUAAGUUAGGUGGGAACGGACGUCAAUCGAAGAAGUUAUGAAUUUAUAACGAAGUUUUUCUGUCCCGGCCUACUAAAAAUAAUUAAUAAAAAUAAAGUCAAAAUUAGCCGACGAAGUCCAAACGAAAAUUGUAGAGCGUAGUCUCACCUACGCGUGGAUAUAAAGAAAGUCGAAAAUGGAGUUUGUAUGAAGAAGAUAUGAAUUUCGAAGUUUAUUAAAUAAUUUGUAUUUAAAUUUAAUCUUUAAUUCGGAUGUAUAUCCGAAGGAGUCACCGAUCUGAUCCGAAGUACGCCCAGCGUACCGUGAAGCAUGACGCACCUCGCACUCGAGUUCUUCGGAUGACGCAUGCCAUGACGAUUCGGACGUGUACGCCCAGCGUACUCCGAGGCUCCAGCCUCCUAUAAAUAGGAUGCGAGGGUUCCGGGUAUUUUUGCUCAUUUCUUCUCCUUUUGUGCCGAAGCUCUGCGCAUAAAUCCCCGAAGCCAUCCCGUAGCCCCAGAUCUCAUAGCCAAAUUAAGAAGGAAGUUUCACGCUCCCGGGAUCCCGAGAAGUGCGAUUCCCCAGCCGAAGCUCUGCCCGCAAGAAGUUCGAUUUUUGUAGAGAUCUUCCAAAUCUGCUAAGGAUUACUACUUUUGUAAGCCGUAGUGCUGUCCGAUCAUCUUCUGAUCAAGUGAGUGUAUACUACCUUUCAUAAACACGAUAAUAAUACAAGUAUGGUUUGAGUGUAUUAAGUAUAUUGUUGUUUAUAUGCGUGAGUGUGUGGUUACUUUCUUCUAACGCAUAAUUAUGAAGUAUUUUAUACGAAAUACGUGUUAUGUGUAUAAUUUUGUGGUUAUGUGUGUGAAUGUGUAUUCACUUUCUUCUAUCUCAUAGAUAUGAUUUAUUCUCUAUGAAAUAUGUGUUAUGUGUGUGUGCCUCAUCUGUUACGUGGAAUAUGUAUUGAUUAAAGCAUGCUAUACAUGUUUUUUUUAACUAUGUAUAAAAAUUUAUAUUUUUAUCUACUAAUAUGUUGGGUAUAACAUGGGUAGAUAGUUGGUGUGUAAUAAACAUAUGAUCGGCCUCGUUGUUGUUUGGAUUCAGUCAUCUAGCGGAGUUUAGAUGACGACCACAGACUUUUCUAGACAGUCCUGUGGAACGCUAGCAGGUUCACCACCUGUAGGUGUUAAUGAACUUGGGUGUUCAUUCGCUGUACUCCAUCCCCCUCAUGGUUGCCUUAUUUGACUUAUAUUGCUGAGGAACCCCCGAAGCAUGUGUUGUCGCCCCGAUGAAAUAUUCUUAGACUAGGUCCCUUAUGUCAGUUGUCUUAGGGAUGUAAAGUGAGAAUAACGGGAAUGGGUAAUUGGGUUAUUUUUGGUUGGUGGAAUUAAAUAUAAUUAUUUAUUGUGGGUUGAAAACCCUAUAUGCUCACCAGGCUCCCAAGCCUGACCCACUCAGUUUUAUUUGUAUUACAGGAAGUGGCGCAAGGGCAUAAGAUGGAUGAACCAUCAAGUUGUUUUGUUUACAAGUCUGUAUAUGUAUAUAUUUGUUGAAUGACUUGUAAUGUUAUCGUUUAUGCUUUAUGGUCUGUAUCGGAACAUGACAUCCCGAGUUUUGAUUAUAUAAUGAAAAUGCAUUUCUUUUAUGAAAUGCUUUGGUAAACAUUGUUUUAUCACGUUUUGUUUUUGGGAACAAAUUCCGCAACUCUUUCAAAUCAAAAGGAUUUACUCUGAAAUUAUUUUAAAAGCAUAAAUAAAAAUCGGUCUUUUCUGGCCGAGAUUUUGGGGAUGUCACAGUUGGUAUCAGAGCAUUAGUUUAAGCGAACUAGGAAUUUGUAGGAUUUCUAGACUUAAACUUAGAAUGCUAAGUGAAAUUUUGAGAUGUGUGUCUGUUAUGAUUUAGACACGAGCACUAGUUUAUUUUAGGAAAGUUGCCUAAAAUGCUUUUAUGUGCUAAAUGUUAUAUGUUGCCAUAUAUGAUAUUAUUUGUUCGGAUCUAUGGUCUGUUGCCGACCGGAUCUAGAAACCUUAUGUGUGUAGGAUUCUAAGCGUACGUCUACGAUAUUAGAACUAGCAUGUAAACGUUUCGGAGUGAUAAGGAUGAUUUGAAUAUCUAUCAUGAUUGAGGAUCUAAUUUCACCUUAUUCGGUGUAGAUCAAAAUGGUGAGAACAAGAAGUGGAGUUGGAAAUGCUGACGAAAACAGGAAUCAACCACCAGUGAUUGAACAAAUACCUGUCGUAGCAGCAGCACCUGAGCCAAUAACCAUGGCUGGUGUGCAAAUGAUGAUUCAAACAAUGUUGGAUCGUCAGAUGGAUGAAACUAGGCGGUUGCUUCAACAGAAUCGUGAAGAACUGUCAAUUCGUGUGGAAGAGCCCGAAUUAAAUGAAGGGCACUCGGAAGGUGGAAACUUCAGUGGGUCUGUUGGUCAAGCCAACCCACCGAUAGUUAGGCAAAACAACCAUGAUGGAAGGAAUGAUGGAAUGGGAUGCAAGUACAAGGACUUUCUAACUUGCAAACCAUCGACCUUCAAUGGAAAGGAGGAUCCGAUUGGAGUUAUGGAUUGGAUCUCCGAAAUGGAGUUAGCCUUCAUGACUUGUGGCUGCAGAGGCAAGUUGCAGACUAUCUAUGCAGUGCGUCAGUUCCGAGGUGGAGCCGUUCGUUGGUGGAACACUCUAGGGAAGACUUUAAGCCCUAAUGAGCCACUGCAAUUGACAUGGGCAGAAUUUUUGGUGCAGUUCAAACGCAAGUUCUGUUCGGCCCAAAAUUUGUUGGAGUUGGAGAAUAAGUUUUUGGCAUUGACGAAAGGCAGCAUGUCAGUUGAUGAAUACACCAAUAACUUCACCGAUAAGAUGGAGUUUGCCUUGCGUAUCGUCCCAGACGAGCUGACAAAGGUGGACCGGUAUGCGAAGGGACUCCCAUGGGAGUACGAGGUGCCAGUACGUCAGGCACAUACUCUAGAGGCAGCUAUCUGGGCUGCCAAGUCUGUUGAGAACAUGAUUAAGGGGAGAACCACCGACAAGGUUGAGGUUGGUGAGAAGAGAAAGUUUGAGGGAACAUCUGGUUCCGGUAAGAAAAGUAAAUUUUCGAAAUCUGAUUCGAAAAAGUUUGGUGGAGGAAAAGGAGGCGAAGCGAAGUGGUGUGAUAAGUGUAAGAAAAAGCACUUUGGAAAAUGUAGUGAGGAUGUAACCUGCUACAAGUGCGGAAAAAUUGGGCAUUUUGCCAAUGAAUGUCCGAACAACAAAAGGAUGUGUUUUGGUUGUAAUGAAGAGGGGCACAUUUUGAAAGACUGUCCGAAGAAAAAGGAGGCAGCUAAGCCCAACAUUCCACCAAAGCCGAAGGCGAGAGCCUUCCAGAUGACACUCGAAGCUGCGAAAGAUGAAGCUGAUGUCGCUUCAGGUACCUUUCUCGUAAACGAAUUACUUGCUCAAAUUUUGUUUGAUUCUGGAGCCAACUACUCUUUUAUUUCGCAUGAGUUUUGUAGAAAACUAGCCUUGCCUGUUGACAGACUAGAUAAUGUUUUAUUAGUCGAAAUUGCUAGUGGCAAGUUUGUACCUGUUAGCCAUCGUAUGAAAGACAUCUUAAUUGACCUUAAUGGGAAUAAGUUUCACGAGGAAUUAUUGCCUAUUGAACUUAAUGGUUUCGACAUCGUGUUGGGAAUGGAUUGGCUUAGCGCCAAUGAUGCCGAAAU
RNAcentral lists this long non-coding RNA (7336 nucleotides) under Lactuca sativa (garden lettuce). RNAcentral's name for it is "long non-coding RNA (LSAT_LNC008182)". Lineage: Eukaryota; Viridiplantae; Streptophyta; Magnoliopsida; Asterales; Asteraceae. The record is from RNAcentral.